UAUACAUGCAGUCGAACGAGAUCUUCGGAUCUAGUGGCGCACGGGUGCGUAACGCGUGGGAAUCUACCCUUGGGUUCGGAAUAACUUCGGGAAACUGAAGCUAAUACCGGAUGAUGUCGAAAGACCAAAGAUUUAUCGCCCAGGGAUGAGCCCGCGUAGGAUUAGCUAGUUGGUGGGGUAAAGGCUCACCAAGGCAACGAUCCUUAGCUGGUCUGAGAGGAUGAUCAGCCACACUGGGACUGAGACACGGCCCAGACUCCUACGGGAGGCAGCAGUAGGGAAUAUUGGACAAUGGGCGCAAGCCUGAUCCAGCAAUGCCGCGUGAGUGAUGAAGGCCUUAGGGUUGUAAAGCUCUUUUACCCGAGAUGAUAAUGACAGUAUCGGGAGAAUAAGCUCCGGCUAACUCCGUGCCAGCAGCCGCGGUAAUACGGAGGGAGCUAGCGUUGUUCGGAAUUACUGGGCGU
This 464-nucleotide ribosomal RNA is filed under the name uncultured bacterium. Its description in RNAcentral is "bacterial SSU rRNA". It matches the Rfam family "Bacterial small subunit ribosomal RNA", at positions 50 to 561 of the family's 1533-position model. The record is from RNAcentral.